UAAAUAAACGCGUGCAUAUUUACACGUGCAAUUGCAGGCGUUAAAUAAACGCCUGAACGCCACAUGCAAAUCACUGCCCACAAUUUCCCUAGCUCCUCCUGCAGUUAGCUGGGCUUGUGUGAUUGGAUUCCUCCCUCUAUUUUCAAGUACCAUGGAUCCUCCCCACUGUAGAAGCGGCCUAUUCAAAACAAGUUUAGCCCAGCACAGUCAGAAGUUUAAGAUGGCAAGAAGGAACUUCCUACGAAACUGCAAGCAGACCCUAAAUGACUGCACUCGGCUUUUGUUAUUCGAUAACGCUGGACACGACGACCUUCAGUCCACGUUGACAAGGAUGGAAACAAUGCAGCGAAGCCUAGAGUGGGCAAGGGGUACGCUCUUGAAUGUUGCUUCAGCAGACGGCCUGAUAGCUUAAGUGUCCGAGUUCAUCGAGGAGAUUCGCACCUAUGGUCGGCAUGCACAACAAACCAGUUCCGGUUACCAGGCUCCAUUGACUUGGACUGGAGCAAUGGGGACUCCUCAUUAUCACAUCACCGGAGAACAACUGAGGGGUCUGAUGAUGGAUGGAAGAUAUUCUCCACGUGUUCGACUACACUCAAAACCACAUCUGAGAUACUUUGCAUUAACCUGAGGUCAGCUGCGUCCCAUCAAUGUCGCAGCGGCUGCACAUAAGGUACAGUGUUGCUGCUCUGAAUUCUUGAUGACACAUCGAUGGAAACUACAGACUGAAGAUGGAGGAUAGUCAUCCAUGGUGGCAUUGAUGGUCACAGCUGCCAUGUGUUUCUCCACGCUUCCAGCAACAAGUGCAGCAUUACUAAAUGCUGAGGCCAGACAGUCCGUCCAGGCUUAGAACAGGAUCUGGUAGAAGCUAGAUUUCUGUGAUUGCCACCUUUUGAAUUGGAUAACCAUGGACCAGAACAAGAUAAUCAAUAUUUUCCUGCAGUAGUGAAUGUAUGUUACUGCUCGACAUUAAAUUAUAAAACGAGAAGAAGUGAAUGUAGCUUGUUUCAUAACAAGAUGGGUUGAUGGAGUGAUAUGGAGGGGUGAUUGUCAUUGUUUGUUUAC
Molecule: long non-coding RNA, 1062 nt
Organism: Hypomesus transpacificus
Lineage: Eukaryota; Metazoa; Chordata; Actinopteri; Osmeriformes; Osmeridae
Exons: 5
Source: RefSeq, a predicted model, not a curated record